Molecule: unclassified non-coding RNA, 216 nt
Filed under: uncultured fungus
Lineage: Eukaryota; Fungi
Description: partial contains 18S rRNA, ITS1 and 5.8S rRNA
Source: RNAcentral
UGGUGAACCAGCGGAGGGAUCAUUAAUGAGUUGUAAAACUCCAACCAUCGCGAAUAUCACCUAUUGCAGUUGCUUCGGCGGGUGGCCCUGAGAGGGGCCGCGCUCUCCUACGGGGAGCAUGCCCGCCGGAGUCGUACAAACUCUUGUAUUUUUUGGCAUCUCUGAGUAACUUUUACAAUAAGUUAAAACUUUCAACAACGGAUCUCUUGGUUCUGG